UAGCUGAGUCAGUAAAGAAUCUGCCUGCAAUGCAGGACACCCAGGUUUGAUUCCUGG
This 57-nucleotide transfer RNA is filed under the name Bos taurus (domestic cattle). It matches the Rfam family "tRNA", at positions 8 to 63 of the family's 71-position model. From Rfam's summary of the family: Transfer RNA (tRNA) molecules are approximately 80 nucleotides in length. Their secondary structure includes four short double-helical elements and three loops (D, anti-codon, and T loops). RNAcentral also lists the same sequence under 6 other names. The record is from Rfam by way of RNAcentral. Lineage: Eukaryota; Metazoa; Chordata; Mammalia; Artiodactyla; Bovidae.